UGCAACGCGAAGAACCUUACCUGGGCUUGACAUACACCGGAUCGGGCUAGAGAUAGUCUUUCCCUUUGUGGCUGGUGUACAGGUGGUGCAUGGUUGUCGUCAGCUCGUGUCGUGAGAUGUUGGGUUAAGUCCCGCAACGAGCGCAACCCUUGUCUUAUGUUGCCAGCAUUUGGUUGGGGACUCAUGAGAGACUGCCGGGGUCAACUCGGAGGAAG
This 215-nucleotide ribosomal RNA is filed under the name uncultured bacterium. RNAcentral's name for it is "partial 16S ribosomal RNA". It matches the Rfam family "Bacterial small subunit ribosomal RNA", at positions 955 to 1172 of the family's 1533-position model. The record is from RNAcentral.